UCUGGAGGCCGGCCGGCCGUAAAACAGCCUAGUCGCUAUAAGGUUGACCUCGGAUCAGGUAGGAAUACCCGCUGAACUUAAGCAUAUCAAUAAGCGGAGGAAGAGAAACCAACAGGGAUUGCCUCAGUAACGGCGAGUGAAGCGGCAACAGCUCAAAUUUGAAAUCUGGCCCCCGGCCCGAGUUGUAAUUUGUAGAGGAUGCUUUGGGCGCCGGCGCCUUCCGAGUUCCCUGGAAUGGGACGCCAUAGAGGGUGAGAGCCCCGUACGGUGGGAUGUCUAGCCUAUGUAAAGCUCCUUCGACGAGUCGAGUAGUUUGGGAAUGCUGCUCAAAAUGGGAGGUAAAUUUCUUCUAAAGCUAAAUACCGGCCAGAGACCGAUAGCGCACAAGUAGAGUGAUCGAAAGAUGAAAAGCACUUUGAAAAGAGGGUCAAAAGUACGUGAAAUUGUUGAAAGGGAAGCGCUNAUGACCAGACUUGCGCCUAGNGAAUCAUCCGGCGUUUUCGCCGGUGCACUUCGCUCGGCUCAGGCCAGCAUCGGUUUUCUCAGGGCGUUAAAAACAACNGGAACGUAGCUCCUCCGGGGGUGUUAUAGCCCGCUGUAGAAUAUCCUUGGGGGGACCGAGGACCGCGCUUCGGCAAGGAUGCUGGCGUAAUGGUCAUCAGCGACCCGUCUU
RNAcentral lists this ribosomal RNA (673 nucleotides) under uncultured Sordariales. RNAcentral's name for it is "eukaryotic LSU rRNA". It matches the Rfam family "Eukaryotic large subunit ribosomal RNA", at positions 1 to 655 of the family's 3401-position model. Lineage: Eukaryota; Fungi; Ascomycota; Sordariomycetes; Sordariales. The record is from RNAcentral.